AGGAAGUCCUCGACUUAUGAUAGUCUUGAAUUACAAUGAUCCAUACUUACAACAGUCGCUGUCAAUGAUUUUGCAAUAAUGGCAGCCAAUCAAUCAGAUGGCUAAGAAGUUAAAAGGAUGGAAACAUGCUGUGUUACCAUUAUGGAGUAAUUGUAUUUAAUUGUGGAUCUCUUAAACUCCAGAUUUGUUUUAGAUAUUUGCACACAGCCAUUCAACCCAUCCUUCACCUAAUACCCGCUAUCCACAAGUUAUCCAUACUAUUACCACUAGUGUAGAUAGCUUGUGGUGAGUACUAGGAUGCUGGUUAGUCUUCAGUAAAAGAGAAAACAACAUAAGAUACAAAUGGCAAUUAUGCUGGUUUCCAAUGCUUUUUUCUAUUAAAAAAAAAAUUAGAUUUUGUUUCAUUUCAAAAAUAUUUCCUGAAAUAUGUGCAACAAAAAUUACAUUCACAGUAGAUCACCAACUUGUGCAGCUAAUUAAUCCAAAAAAUUUCCAUAUAAAUUGCAAACCAUUUAAAUCCAACAAUGUUUUUAAUUUUGAUAUACACGAAUGCAUACAUGAGCAAAUGGAAUGAAAAAUGAAAUUUAUGACCAUAUUUUAAGCAUUGAUAAGACCAUUUAAGGCCAUAACUGAUAAUUUUG
This 641-nucleotide long non-coding RNA is filed under the name Androctonus crassicauda. The record is from RNAcentral. Lineage: Eukaryota; Metazoa; Arthropoda; Arachnida; Scorpiones; Buthidae.